RNAcentral lists this ribosomal RNA (490 nucleotides) under Starmerella bacillaris. RNAcentral describes it as "eukaryotic LSU rRNA". It matches the Rfam family "Eukaryotic large subunit ribosomal RNA", at positions 43 to 555 of the family's 3401-position model. Lineage: Eukaryota; Fungi; Ascomycota; Dipodascomycetes; Dipodascales; Trichomonascaceae. The record is from RNAcentral.
CCCAUUAGCGGAGGAAAAGAAACCAACAGGGAUUGCCCUAGUAACGGCGAGUGAACAGGCAAGAGCUCAGAUUUGAAAGGCACUUUUGUGCCGUUGUAUUCUGAAGUUAGGGUCCUGAGAAACGAUGCUUAAGUCUUCUGGAAAGGAGCGCCAUGGAGGGUGAUAGCCCCGUCUAGCAUUGACCUCAUAUAGGAUCUUAACAUGGAGUCGAGUUGUUUGGGAAUGCAGCUCAAAUGGGUGGUAUGCUCCAUCUAAAGCUAAAUAUCUGCGAGAGACCGAUAGUAAACAAGUACUGUGAGGGAAAGAUGAAAAGAACUUUGAAAAGAGAGUGAAAAAGUACGUGAAAUUGUUGAAAUGGAAGGGUAGGCCGCUAACCAUGUAGAGCCGUGUUUGGGGGGAAGAUAAAUGCUGUAGAAUGUAGCUCCUCGGAGUAUUAUAGAUGCAGUUCAUAUUCCCACCCGAGCGCGAGGAUCUCACUGCCCUCCGCCCU